GAAAAGUUGGUGGACUCCGUUUGC
This 24-nucleotide non-coding RNA is filed under the name Arabidopsis thaliana (thale cress). The record is from RNAcentral. Lineage: Eukaryota; Viridiplantae; Streptophyta; Magnoliopsida; Brassicales; Brassicaceae.